This 482-nucleotide ribosomal RNA is filed under the name uncultured bacterium. RNAcentral's name for it is "partial 16S ribosomal RNA". It matches the Rfam family "Bacterial small subunit ribosomal RNA", at positions 30 to 507 of the family's 1533-position model. The record is from RNAcentral.
AUUGAACGCUGGCGGCAUGCUUUACGCAUGCAAGUCGAACGGUAACAGGCCGCAAGGUGCUGACGAGUGGCGAACGGGUGAGUAAUGCAUCGGAACGUGCCCAGUCGUGGGGGAUAACUACUCGAAAGAGUAGCUAAUACCGCAUACGAUCUAUGGAUGAAAGCGGGGGACCGUAAGGCCUCGCGCGAUUGGAGCGGCCGAUGUCAGAUUAGGUAGUUGGUGGGGUAAAGGCUCACCAAGCCAACGAUCUGUAGCUGGUCUGAGAGGACGACCAGCCACACUGGGGCUGAGACACGGCCCAGACUCCUACGGGAGGCAGCAGUGGGGAAUUUUGGACAAUGGGCGCAAGCCUGAUCCAGCAAUGCCGCGUGCAGGAAGAAGGCCUUCGGGUUGUAAACUGCUUUUGUACGGAACGAAACGGCUCUGGUUAAUACCCGGGGCUAAUGACGGUACCGUAAGAAUAAGCACCGGCUAACUACGUG